RNAcentral lists this long non-coding RNA (369 nucleotides) under Brassica rapa (field mustard). Its description in RNAcentral is "long non-coding RNA (BRAP_LNC007101)". The record is from RNAcentral. Lineage: Eukaryota; Viridiplantae; Streptophyta; Magnoliopsida; Brassicales; Brassicaceae.
CAUUUUCAAGUUUUAAUCACAAAAAUAGAUCCUAAGGAGAAAAAUGACCAAAAUGUUUUAUUUUUUAUAUAUUUUCAGAUUUUAUGUUUUCAAAUUCCAACUUUUUUAUAAAAAAAUUCUUUUGAUUUUUUUAUUUUUUUUCCAAAUUUUCUUUUUGUAAUUCGAAAUACUUUUUGAAACUCUUUUUAAAAAUUUUUUUUAAUUUUUUAAUAUUUAUUUUUUUUUUAUAAAAUUUUAAAAUUUAAUCUCAAAUCCUCAUCCUUUAACUCAAAACUCUAAGGAGGGUGUAUUGAAUUGGGAAUUGAGAAUGCUUGGAGGGAUUUUAGUUAUGGUGAGAUUUGGGAGGGUUUUGAGUAAAUGAGAUGAUUU